CUCCUACGGAGGCAGCAGUGGGGAAUAUUGGACAAUGGGCGCAAGCCUGAUCCAGCAAUGCCGCGUGAGUGAUGACGGCCUUAGGGUUGUAAAGCUCUUUCGGCGGGGACGAUGAUGACGGUACCCGCAGAAGAAGCCCGGCUAACUUCGUGCCAGCCGCCGCGGUAAUUC
Molecule: ribosomal RNA, 171 nt
Filed under: uncultured bacterium
Lineage: Bacteria
Description: partial 16S ribosomal RNA
Rfam family: Bacterial small subunit ribosomal RNA
Source: RNAcentral